AAGCCCUUCGGGGGAAAGAUUUAUCGCCGAAAGAUCGGCCCGCGUAAGAUUAGCUAGUUGGUGAGGUAAUGGCUCACCAAGGCUACGAUCUUUAGCUGGUCUGAGAGGAUGAUCAGCCACACUGGGACUGAGACACGGCCCAGACUCCUACGGGAGGCAGCAGUGGGGAAUAUUGGACAAUGGGCGCAAGCCUGAUCCAGCCAUGCCGCGUGAGUGAUGAAGGCCUUAGGGUUGUAAAGCUCUUUUAGCAGGGACGAUAAUGACGGUACCUGCAGAAAAAGCCCCGGCCAACUUCGUGCCAGCAGCCGCGGUAAUACGAAGGGGGCUAGCGUUGCUCGGAAUCACUGGGCGUAAAGCGCACGUAGGUGGGUCGUUAAGUCGGGGGUGAAAUCCCAGAGCUCAACUCUGGAACUGCCUUCGAUACUGGCGACCUUCGAGUUCGGGAGAGGUGAGUGGAACUGCGAGUGUAGAGGUGAAAUUCGUAGAUAUUCGCAAGAACACCAGUGGCGAAGGCGGCUCACUGGCCCGAUACUGACACUGAGGUGCGAAAGCGUGG
This 556-nucleotide ribosomal RNA is filed under the name uncultured bacterium. RNAcentral's name for it is "bacterial SSU rRNA". It matches the Rfam family "Bacterial small subunit ribosomal RNA", at positions 189 to 764 of the family's 1533-position model. The record is from RNAcentral.